CGGGACGGGUGAGUAACGCGUGGAUAACCUGCCUCACACUGGGGGAUAACAGUUAGAAAUGACUGCUAAUACCGCAUGAGCGCACAGUACCGCAUGGUACGGUGUGAAAAACUCCGGUGGUGUGAAAUGGAUCCGCGUCUGAUUAGCCAGUUGGCGGGGUAACGGCCCACCAAAGCGACGAUCAGUAGCCGACCUGAGAGGGUGACCGGCCACAUUGGGACUGAGACACGGCCCAA
RNAcentral lists this ribosomal RNA (236 nucleotides) under uncultured bacterium. RNAcentral's name for it is "partial 16S ribosomal RNA". It matches the Rfam family "Bacterial small subunit ribosomal RNA", at positions 100 to 334 of the family's 1533-position model. The record is from RNAcentral.